ACCAGACUCCUACGGGAGGCAGCAGUGGGGGAUAUUGCACAAUGGGGGGAACCCUGAUGCAGCAACGCCGCGUGAGUGAGGAAGUAUUUCGGUAUGUAAAGCUCUAUCAGCAGGGAAUAGAAAAGAAGGUACCUGAAAAAGAAGCCCCGGCUAACUACGUGCCAGCAGCCGCGGUAAUACGUAGGGGGCAAGCGUUAUCCGGAUUUACUGGGUGUAAAGGGGGCGCAGACGGCAGCGCAAGCCAGGAGUGAAAGCCCGGGGCCCAACCCCGGGACUGCUCUUGGAACUGCGCGGCUGGAGUGCAGGAGGGGCAGGCGGAAUUCCUGGUGUAGCGGUGAAAUGCGUAGAUAUCAGGAGGAACACCGGUGGCGAAGGCGGCCUGCUGGACUGCGACUGACGUUGAGGCCCGAAAGCGUGGGGAGCAAACAGGAUUAGAUACCCUGGUAC
RNAcentral lists this ribosomal RNA (447 nucleotides) under uncultured bacterium. Its description in RNAcentral is "partial 16S ribosomal RNA". It matches the Rfam family "Bacterial small subunit ribosomal RNA", at positions 330 to 793 of the family's 1533-position model. The record is from RNAcentral.